This 65-nucleotide transfer RNA is filed under the name Herdmania momus (red throated ascidian). Its description in RNAcentral is "transfer RNA-Trp (UCA)". Lineage: Eukaryota; Metazoa; Chordata; Ascidiacea; Stolidobranchia; Pyuridae. The record is from RNAcentral.
AGAGCUUUAGGUUAAGUUGGAAACUUUCUGUCUUCAAAAUAGUAGAUAUGUAAAAGUAAGUUCUG